This 243-nucleotide ribosomal RNA is filed under the name uncultured prokaryote. Its description in RNAcentral is "partial 16S ribosomal RNA". It matches the Rfam family "Bacterial small subunit ribosomal RNA", at positions 524 to 768 of the family's 1533-position model. The record is from RNAcentral.
UACGUAGGUGGCGAGCGUUGUCCGGAUUACUGGGCGUAAAGGGCGCGCAGGCUGUGCUGCAAGUCAGCUGUGAAAUGUCUGGGCUUAACCCGUGCAUGCGGUUGAGACUGCAGUGCUGGAGUGCUGUAGAGGCAAGUGGAAUUCCCAGUGUAGCGGUGAAAUGCGUAGAUAUUGGGAAGAACACCGGUGGCGAAGGCGACUCUCUGGUCUGUAACUGACGCUGAGGCUCGAAAGCGUGGGGAG